Molecule: long non-coding RNA, 1543 nt
Filed under: Rattus norvegicus (Norway rat)
Lineage: Eukaryota; Metazoa; Chordata; Mammalia; Rodentia; Muridae
Description: long non-coding RNA NONRATT030230
Source: RNAcentral
UCAAUAUCAUCAUGGGCGUGUCCAAAAGGGCUUGUAUGAGAAUGGUGUCAAAAAGAGAUACUUCAGUGUGGCCCAAACAGGAAAGUUUAUAACAAGCACAGACUCCAGGAAAGCUAUACCCACAUGUAUGUCCCAAUAGAGAAUGAGCUAUAAUGUCUCCAGCAAUAUGAGUCAAUAGAAACAAAGUCAUCGGGUUACAGGGAUUCUAUAAAUUAUGUUAACACUUUCCUUGUACUUUGCUUAGUGGGUAUAGGGGUUGUCCACCUAAGGAAAUACUUAGAAUAUAGUUGAAAGCUUCCAUGCCCUUUUGUGAAAGAUUUCCACUCUCAAACCAGUAUCAAUAGAUACUAGCACACAUGUAACAGUGCAAUCAAAGUUCAUAUGAGGUGAUUUUAUUUAUUUGCAGAGGCCAAUAAAUAUUGCACCUCUUCCCAAGUGUUCCUAAGCUCCUCAAAAAACUAAUGUCAUUCAGUUGGGAAAGGGGAGCUCAAGGUUGCCUUUUUCCAUCACUACAUUUAUUACUUGAGAAAAAUUAUUAUGGGAUUCUUGCCUAAAGGCAAGCUUUUAAAAAUAAACAGUAAAAUAAAUAAUAGCCUUUUGAGAGAAAAAAAUGUGCUUGUGUAUUGAAUUAUAUGAGAAAAACAUUUGUUUUAUUGUAAAUUAUGAAAAGACUAUCAAAACUAAAUAAUAUAUUGAGUUGUUUUAAAGCUUCAUAAACUAUGAAGAGAUUAUUGUCUUAACUUUUAGAGUGUCAUGAGCCGAUGGUGGUUAAUUGUACCAUGAGUGUGUUGACAUCUGUAUAAUGGACAUGUUUCUCCAAAGAUAUUUAUAAUGCUGGAUUCAGGGUACUGGCCUUGUGCUUGAAAAAGCCAGCUAGGAGUGCAGACUUUCUGGAUGGCUGGUAUUGACACUAAAUUAGAGAAAUAGAAGCCUUUAACACAUUUUUUUAAUUUAUAGCAGAGAUGCACUCUAUAAAAUUCAGUGUAUCUAUAUGACACUAAAAGUCUUCUUUCCCGUUCAACUCAUUAUGCUACAUUUGCUUUUAUUUUCUCAAUCAGAAAGAUGUUUAGUAUGUAUCUUCUGAAAUUCUAUGCUUUUACUCUAUUUUUAAAGCUUAUAGAAUAACUUUAAGUGUGAACCAGGCCCCACGCCAUCAUUGUCAACCUUGCUGGCCUAUCGACCACAUCCUAGAAGUAUAAGAAAUCUUCCUGGCAAGCCAUAACCUCCUUGCCCCAUGACAGAAAUCUUUUUCAGACCUCAUUGGACAAUUCAUCAUGCAGAUGGUCCCCAUGUAGGUGUGUGUUCAAUCUGACAAAUUAACCAGGCUCUGAAAUCUACUCAUCAUCUCCAACUGAACUGUUUGUGCUUCUUUGUGCUAAUACAUGGGAAAGAGAUUCUUAUUGUUUUAACAAUCCCAGAAUAUUGUGUGUAAACUCUUGUGCUCCAAUCAAUGUUUACUUAUCCUCCAAAGCACAAAUACUGGAUGUAAACAUGUGUUGUACCUAAUGUUACAAACUAAUCAAUAAAUUUCUGCUGCAAGGUU